GCACCAGUGGAGUAGAAGUCUAACUCAUUUCCCUCCCAUUCUCCCAUAGACAAGGAAGGAAAAGACCUGGGUGCAAGUCCCGGCUGGUGCA
This is a non-coding RNA of Nemania sp. FL0031, 91 nucleotides long. NCBI's taxonomy places the organism in Eukaryota, Fungi, Ascomycota, Sordariomycetes, Xylariales, Xylariaceae. The record is from the annotation of a GenBank genome assembly.